Molecule: transfer RNA, 67 nt
Filed under: Castor canadensis (American beaver)
Lineage: Eukaryota; Metazoa; Chordata; Mammalia; Rodentia; Castoridae
Description: transfer RNA-Thr
Source: RNAcentral
GUCCUCAUAGUAUAAACUAUUACUUUGGUCUUGUAAACCAACAAUGGGAAAAACACCCCUUAGGACA